CAACGCGUAUGCAACCUACCUUUUACUGGGGGAUAGCCCGGAGAAAUCUGGAUUAAUACCCCAUGGUAUCUACGAAUCGAAUGUUUUGUAGCUUAAAGAUUUAUCGGUAAAAGAUGGGCAUGCGUCUGAUUAGCUAGUUGGCGGGGUAACGGCCCACCAAGGCGACGAUCAGUAGGGGUUCUGAGAGGAAGGUCCCCCACACUGGCACUGAGAUACGGGCCAGACUCCUACGGGAGGCAGCAGUAGGGAAUAUUGGGCAAUGGUCGCAAGACUGACCCAGCCAUGCCGCGUGCAGGAAGACGGCCCUCUGGGUUGUAAACUGCUUUUAUCUGGGAAGAAAAAGUCCAUGCGUGGAAAAUUGCCGGUACCAGAUGAAUAAGCACCGGCUAACUCCGUGCCAGCAGCCGCGGUAAUACGGAGGGUGCAAGCGUUGUCCGGAUUUAUUGGGUUUAAAGGGUGCGUAGGCGGCUGAAUAAGUCAGCGGUGAAAGACUUCGGCUUAACCGGAGCAGUGCCGUUGAUACUGUUUAGCUUGAGUGUUGGAGGGGUACAUGGAAUUGAUGGUGUAGCGGUGAAAUGCAUAGAUACCAUCAGGAACACCGAUAGCGAAGGCAUUGUACUGGCCAACAACUGACGCUGAGGCACGAAAGUGUGGGGAUCGAACAGGAUUAGAUACCCUGGUAGUCCACACUGUAAACGAUGAUUACUCGCUGUUAUGGUGUAUACUGUAGCGGCCAAGCGAAAGCGUUAAGUAAUCCACCUGGGGAGUACGC
This 772-nucleotide ribosomal RNA is filed under the name uncultured bacterium. RNAcentral's name for it is "bacterial SSU rRNA". It matches the Rfam family "Bacterial small subunit ribosomal RNA", at positions 111 to 885 of the family's 1533-position model. The record is from RNAcentral.